This 512-nucleotide ribosomal RNA is filed under the name Salmonella enterica subsp. enterica serovar Dublin. Its description in RNAcentral is "partial 23S ribosomal RNA". It matches the Rfam family "Bacterial large subunit ribosomal RNA", at positions 695 to 1205 of the family's 2925-position model. The record is from RNAcentral. Lineage: Bacteria; Pseudomonadati; Pseudomonadota; Gammaproteobacteria; Enterobacterales; Enterobacteriaceae.
UUAAGUUGCAGGGUAUAGACCCGAAACCCGGUGAUCUAGCCAUGGGCAGGUUGAAGGUUGGGUAACACUAACUGGAGGACCGAACCGACUAAUGUUGAAAAAUUAGCGGAUGACCUGUGGCUGGGGGUGAAAGGCCAAUCAAACCGGGAGAUAGCUGGUUCUCCCCGAAAGCUAUUUAGGUAGCGCCUCGUGAAUUCAUCUCCGGGGGUAGAGCACUGUUUCGGCUAGGGGGCCAUCCCGGCUUACCAACCCGAUGCAAACUGCGAAUACCGGAGAAUGUUAUCACGGGAGACACACGGCGGGUGCUAACGUCCGUCGUGAAGAGGGAAACAACCCAGACCGCCAGCUAAGGUCCCAAAGUCAUGGUUAAGUGGGAAACGAUGUGGGAAGGCCCAGACAGCCAGGAUGUUGGCUUAGAAGCAGCCAUCAUUUAAAGAAAGCGUAAUAGCUCACUGGUCGAGUCGGCCUGCGCGGAAGAUGUAACGGGGCUAAACCAUGCACCGAAGCUGCGG